RNAcentral lists this ribosomal RNA (253 nucleotides) under uncultured bacterium. RNAcentral describes it as "partial 16S ribosomal RNA". It matches the Rfam family "Bacterial small subunit ribosomal RNA", at positions 524 to 776 of the family's 1533-position model. The record is from RNAcentral.
UACGUAGGUGGCGAGCGUUGUCCGGAUUUACUGGGCGUAAAGGGAGCGUAGGCGGGCUUUUAAGUGAGAUGUGAAAUACUCGGGCUCAACUUGGGUGCUGCACUUCAAACUGGAAGUCUAGAGUGCAGGAGAGGAGAAUGGAAUUCCUAGUGUAGCGGUGAAAUGCGUAGAGAUUAGGAAGAACACCAGUGGCGAAGGCGAUUCUCUGGACUGUAACUGACGCUGAGGCUCGAAAGCGUGGGGAGCAAACAGG